Molecule: ribosomal RNA, 403 nt
Filed under: Fusobacteriota bacterium
Lineage: Bacteria; Fusobacteriati; Fusobacteriota
Description: Fusobacteria bacterium partial 16S ribosomal RNA
Rfam family: Bacterial small subunit ribosomal RNA
Source: RNAcentral
UGGGGAAUAUUGCACAAUGGGGGAAACCCUGAUGCAGCGACGCCGCGUGAGCGAAGAAGGUUUUCGAAUCGUAAAGCUCUGUCCUAUGGGAAGAUAAUGACGGUACCAUAGGAGGAAGCCCCGGCUAACUACGUGCCAGCAGCCGCGGUAAUACGUAGGGGGCAGGCGUUGUCCGGAAUCACUGGGCGUAAAGGGUUCGCAGGCGGAAAUGCAAGUCAGUUGUGAAAGGCAGGGGCUCAACCUCUGUAAGCAAUUGAAACUGUAUUUCUUGAGAUGUGGAGAGGCAAGUGGAAUUCCUAGUGUAGCGGUGAAAUGCGUAGAUAUUAGGAAGAAUAACGGUGGCGAAGGCGACUUGCUGGACACAAACUGACGCUGAGGAACGAAAGCGUGGGUAGCAAACAGG